Molecule: long non-coding RNA, 360 nt
Filed under: Pelobates cultripes (western spadefoot toad)
Lineage: Eukaryota; Metazoa; Chordata; Amphibia; Anura; Pelobatidae
Source: RNAcentral
CCCAGAUCUAUCCCCCCUGUAUAGAGGUCCUGUCCCAGCUCUAGCCCCCUGUAUAGAGGUCCUAUCCUAAUACAGAGGUCCUAUCCUAAUACAGAGGUCCUGUCCCAGCUCUAUCCCCCCUGUAUAGAGGUCCUAUCCUAAUACAGAGGUCCUAUCCCAAUACAGAGGUCCUAUCCUAAUACAGAGGUCCUGUCUCAGCUCUAUCCCCCCUGUAUAGAGGUCCUAUCCUAAUACAGAGGUCCUAUCCUAAUACAGAGGUCCUGUCCCAGCUCUAUCCCCCCUGUAUAGAGGUCCUAUCCUAAUACAGAGGUCCUAUCCUAAUACAGAGGUCCUGUCCCAGCUCUAGCUCCCUGUAUAGAG